This 429-nucleotide ribosomal RNA is filed under the name Chloroflexota bacterium. RNAcentral's name for it is "Chloroflexi bacterium partial 16S ribosomal RNA". It matches the Rfam family "Bacterial small subunit ribosomal RNA", at positions 355 to 776 of the family's 1533-position model. The record is from RNAcentral. Lineage: Bacteria; Bacillati; Chloroflexota.
UGGGGAAUAUUGCACAAUGGGCGCAAGCCUGAUGCAGCCAUGCCGCGUGUAUGAAGAAGGCCUUCGGGUUGUAAAGUACUUUCAGCGGGGAGGAAGGGAGUAAAGUUAAUACCUUUGCUCAUUGACGUUACCCGCAGAAGAAGCACCGGCUAACUCCGUGCCAGCAGCCGCGGUAAUACGGAGGGUGCAAGCGUUAAUCGGAAUUACUGGGCGUAAAGCGCACGCAGGCGGUUUGUUAAGUCAGAUGUGAAAUCCCCGGGCUCAACCUGGGAACUGCAUCUGAUACUGGCAAGCUUGAGACUCGUAGAGGGGGGUAGAAUUCCAGGUGUAGCGGUGAAAUGCGUAGAGAUCUGGAGGAAUACCGGUGGCGAAGGCGGCCGCCUGGACGAAGACUGACGCUCAGGUGCGAAAGCGUGGGGAGCAAACAGG